RNAcentral lists this ribosomal RNA (5602 nucleotides) under Nitrosomonas europaea ATCC 19718. The record is from RNAcentral. Lineage: Bacteria; Pseudomonadati; Pseudomonadota; Betaproteobacteria; Nitrosomonadales; Nitrosomonadaceae.
CUUGAUUCUUUAGGUAGACAAUGAGUGAGACAGAGGAUUCUACGACGCAAGGUCAACGUCUUAAGGGUGUAAACAAGUUUCCUCUGGCUUGAUACGAUAAUAGUUAAUUACUACGGGAAACAAGAUACAAGGUUCUUAUGUCGGUAACGCAGCUGCAGGAAAAAGAUGAUAUAUAAUGAAAUCAAAUAAUUAUAGAUUUUUCUGGGCCGUAAUGAAAAAAUCUGCACAAAAUUGCUUGACUCAGUUGGUUUGUUCUAUAUAAUGCGCAUCUCUAUCGCGAUGACACACAAGUCAAAGCAAAGUUCUUUAAAAACAAAUAACCAAUAAGUGUGGACGCUUGGCAAUAUAAAUUGCAAAGCUCAGGUAAAUCUGAGCAAAAAAGUUACAAACGUCUGCAUUAUUAUCUGUAAAAAGAUAAAAGCAAGAUGAGAAAGAGAUAAAACUGAAGAGUUUGAUCCUGGCUCAGAUUGAACGCUGGCGGCAUGCUUUACACAUGCAAGUCGAACGGCAGCGGGGGCUUCGGCCUGCCGGCGAGUGGCGAACGGGUGAGUAAUACAUCGGAACGUGUCCUUAAGUGGGGAAUAACGCAUCGAAAGAUGUGCUAAUACCGCAUAUCUCUGAGGAGAAAAGCAGGGGAUCGCAAGACCUUGCGCUAAAGGAGCGGCCGAUGUCUGAUUAGCUAGUUGGUGGGGUAAAGGCUUACCAAGGCAACGAUCAGUAGUUGGUCUGAGAGGACGGCCAACCACACUGGGACUGAGACACGGCCCAGACUCCUACGGGAGGCAGCAGUGGGGAAUUUUGGACAAUGGGCGAAAGCCUGAUCCAGCCAUGCCGCGUGAGUGAAGAAGGCCUUCGGGUUGUAAAGCUCUUUUAGUCGGAAAGAAAGAGUUGCAAUGAAUAAUUGUGAUUUAUGACGGUACCGACAGAAAAAGCACCGGCUAACUACGUGCCAGCAGCCGCGGUAAUACGUAGGGUGCGAGCGUUAAUCGGAAUUACUGGGCGUAAAGGGUGCGCAGGCGGUCUUGCAAGUCAGAUGUGAAAGCCCCGGGCUUAACCUGGGAAUUGCGUUUGAAACUACAAGGCUAGAGUGCAGCAGAGGGGAGUGGAAUUCCAUGUGUAGCAGUGAAAUGCGUAGAGAUGUGGAAGAACACCGAUGGCGAAGGCAGCUCCCUGGGUUGACACUGACGCUCAUGCACGAAAGCGUGGGGAGCAAACAGGAUUAGAUACCCUGGUAGUCCACGCCCUAAACGAUGUCAACUAGUUGUCGGAUCUAAUUAAGGAUUUGGUAACGUAGCUAACGCGUGAAGUUGACCGCCUGGGGAGUACGGUCGCAAGAUUAAAACUCAAAGGAAUUGACGGGGACCCGCACAAGCGGUGGAUUAUGUGGAUUAAUUCGAUGCAACGCGAAAAACCUUACCUACCCUUGACAUGCUUGGAAUCUAAUGGAGACAUAAGAGUACCCGAAAGGGAGCCAAGACACAGGUGCUGCAUGGCUGUCGUCAGCUCGUGUCGUGAGAUGUUGGGUUAAGUCCCGCAACGAGCGCAACCCUUGUCACUAAUUGCUAUCAUUUUUAAUGAGCACUUUAGUGAGACUGCCGGUGACAAACCGGAGGAAGGUGGGGAUGACGUCAAGUCCUCAUGGCCCUUAUGGGUAGGGCUUCACACGUAAUACAAUGGCGUGUACAGAGGGUUGCCAACCCGCGAGGGGGAGCCAAUCUCAGAAAGCACGUCGUAGUCCGGAUCGGAGUCUGCAACUCGACUCCGUGAAGUCGGAAUCGCUAGUAAUCGCGGAUCAGCAUGCCGCGGUGAAUACGUUCCCGGGUCUUGUACACACCGCCCGUCACACCAUGGGAGUGGUUUUCACCAGAAGCAGGUAGCUUAACCGUAAGGAGGGCGCUUGCCACGGUGGGGGUCAUGACUGGGGUGAAGUCGUAACAAGGUAGCCGUAGGGGAACCUGCGGCUGGAUCACCUCCUUUCAUAAAUUAUUGCCAAGUGUUCACACUUAUUGGUUGUUUGUAAUGAAUAAGCAUGAAUUUGGGUUUAAGGGUGUAGGAAAUACUUGGACUCGAAAGGGUCUGUAGCUCAGUUGGUUAGAGCACACGCUUGAUAAGCGUGGGGUCGGUGGUUCAAAUCCACCCAGACCCACCACGAGGGGGUGUAGCUCAGCUGGGAGAGCACCUGCUUUGCAAGCAGGGGGUCAUCGGUUCGAUCCCGUUCACCUCCACCAAUUAAACCGGUUAGACUCAAAAAAUAAAUUCUGCUUUUUGUUCUUUAAAAAAUAAAAAUUGGGUAAGAUUGUGUUUUGUAAAGCAUAAUCUAAAUCUAUAGUGUUGAUGAAUAUAACAAGUUUUUAUUUUUGUUAUUAAGUUUUCAAGAUUAUAGGAUCAAGUGAAUAAGUGCAUGUGGUGGAUGCCUUGGCGAUUACAGGCGAUGAAGGACGUGGAAGCCUGCGAAAAGCUUCGGGGAGCUGGCAAACAAGCUUUGAUCCGGAGAUGUCCGAAUGGGAAAACCCACCCGUAAGGGUAAUCACUCCUGAAUAUAUAGGGAGAUGAUGGCUAACCUGGAGAACUGAAACAUCUAAGUAACCAGAGGAAAAGAAAUCAACAGAGAUUCCCAGAGUAGUGGCGAGCGAAAUGGGACCAGCCUGCAGUUAAUAAUAUUUAGACUAACCGAAUUAUCUGGAAAGUUAAACCGUAGUGGGUGAUAGUCCCGUAGGUGAAAGUCUGAAUGUGGAACUAAGAUUGCAAUAAGUAGGGCGGGGCACGUGUAAUCCUGUCUGAAUAUAGGGGGACCAUCCUCUAAGGCUAAAUACUCGUAAUCGACCGAUAGUGAACCAGUACCGUGAGGGAAAGGCGAAAAGAACCCCGGGAGGGGAGUGAAAUAGAUCCUGAAACCGCAUGCAUACAAACAGUAGGAGCCUUGAAAGAGGUGACUGCGUACCUUUUGUAUAAUGGGUCAGCGACUUACAUUCAGUAGCGAGCUUAACCGAUAGGGGAGGCGUAGUGAAAACGAGUCUUAAUAGGGCGAUAAGUUGCUGGGUGUAGACCCGAAACCAGAUGAUCUACUCAUGGCCAGGAUGAAAGGAGGGUAAUGCCUCGUGGAGGUCCGAACCCACUAAUGUUGAAAAAUUAGGGGAUGAGCUGUGGGUAGGGGUGAAAGGCUAAACAAAUCUGGAAAUAGCUGGUUCUCUCCGAAAACUAUUUAGGUAGUGCCUCAUAUAUUACCUUUGGGGGUAGAGCACUGUUAUGGCUAGGGGGUCGUCAAGAUUUACCAAACCAUUGCAAACUCCGAAUACCAAAGAGUGCAAGUAUGGGAGACAGACAUCGGGUGCUAACGUUCGGUGUCGAAAGGGAAACAACCCAGACCUUCAGCUAAGGUCCCAAAGAUACAGUUAAGUGGUAAACGAAGUGGGAAGGCAUAGACAGUCAGGAAGUUGGCUUAGAAGCAGCCAUCCUUUAAAGAAAGCGUAAUAGCUCACUGAUCGAGUCGUCCUGCGCGGAAGAUGUAACGGGGCUAAACUGUACACCGAAGCUAAGGAUUUGCAAUUUAAUUGCAAGUGGUAGGAGAGCGUUCCGUAAGCCUGUGAAGGUAACUUGUGAAGGUUGCUGGAGGUAUCGGAAGUGCGAAUGCUGACAUGAGUAGCGAUAAAGGAAGUGAAAAGCUUCCUCGCCGAAAACCCAAGGUUUCCUGUGCAACGUUCAUCGGCGCAGGGUUAGUCGGUCCCUAAGGUGAGGUAGAAAUACGUAGCUGAUGGGAAACUGGUUAAUAUUCCAGUACCUUUAUUUAAUGCGAUGUGGGGACGAAGAAGGCUAGCUUAGCCGGGUGUUGGAUGUCCCGGUUGAAGCAGGUAGACAUGCUAUUUAGGCAAAUCCGGAUAGCUUAGUCGAGAUGUGAUAACGAAACCUCUUUCGGGAGGCCAAGUAAGUAAUGCCAUGCUUCCAGGAAAAGCCACUAAGCUUCAGUUAAAUAAAGACCGUACCGUAAACCGACACAGGUGGGUGGGAUGAGAAUUCUAAGGCGCUUGAGAGAACUCAGGAGAAGGAACUCGGCAAAUUGACACCGUAACUUCGGGAGAAGGUGUGCCUCUAGUAUGUGUAGUGCUACACGCAUGAAGCAGAAUGAGGUUGCAAAGAAAUGGUGGCUGCGACUGUUUAAUAAAAACACAGCACUCUGCAAACACGAAAGUGGACGUAUAGGGUGUGACGCCUGCCCGGUGCCGGAAGGUUAAGUGAUGGGGUGCAAGCUCUUGAUCGAAGCCCCGGUAAACGGCGGCCGUAACUAUAACGGUCCUAAGGUAGCGAAAUUCCUUGUCGGGUAAGUUCCGACCUGCACGAAUGGCGUAACGAUGGCCACACUGUCUCCUCCUGAGACUCAGCGAAGUUGAAAUGUUUGUGAAGAUGCAAUCUACCCGCGGCUAGACGGAAAGACCCCGUGCACCUUUACUGUAGCUUUACAUUGGAUUUUGAUUAUUCUUGUGUAGGAUAGGUGGGAGGCUGUGAAAUAUGCUCGCCAGAGUGUAUGGAGCCAACCUUGAAAUACCACCCUGGAAUGAUCGGAGUUCUAACCCAGGUCCAUUAUCUGGAUCGGGGACCGUGUAUGGUAGGCAGUUUGACUGGGGCGGUCUCCUCCCAAAGAGUAACGGAGGAGUGCGAAGGUACGCUAGGUACGGUCGGAAAUCGUACUGAUAGUGCAAUGGCAUAAGCGUGCUUAACUGCGAGACUGACAAGUCGAGCAGAUGCGAAAGCAGGUCAUAGUGAUCCGGUGGUUCUGUAUGGAAGGGCCAUCGCUCAACGGAUAAAAGGUACGCCGGGGAUAACAGGCUGAUUCCUCCCAAGAGUUCAUAUCGACGGGGGAGUUUGGCACCUCGAUGUCGGCUCAUCACAUCCUGGGGCUGUAGUCGGUCCCAAGGGUAUGGCUGUUCGCCAUUUAAAGUGGUACGUGAGCUGGGUUUAAAACGUCGUGAGACAGUUUGGUCCCUAUCUGCCGUGGGCGUUGGAAAUUUGAGUGGGGCUGCUCCUAGUACGAGAGGACCGGAGUGGACGCACCUCUGGUGUACCGGUUAUGACGCCAGUCGUAUCGCCGGGUAGCUAAGUGCGGAAGAGAUAACCGCUGAAAGCAUCUAAGCGGGAAACUUGCCAUAAGAUUAGAUUUCCCGGGAAUUUAAUUCCCCUAAAGGUUCGUUGAAGACUACAACGUUGAUAGGUCGAAUGUGUAAGCGUAGUAAUGCGUUAAGCUAAUCGAUACUAAUUGACCGUGAGGCUUGAUCCUAUAAUCUUGAAAAUUGAGUCAAUGUAUUGGCAAAUUUAAUAUUUUGCCUAAUACCCAAUUUUACCGUUUUUGCUUGGCGGCCAUAGCGCUUUGGACCCACCUUUUCCCAUCCCGAACAGAGAAGUGAAACGAAGCAGCGCCGAUGAUAGUGUGUUUCCACAUGUGAAAGUAGGUCACCGCCAGGCUUCCUCUUAUGUUAGUGUUUGUUUUUAUCUGUGGUAUUUCUUCCUUAAUUUUCGUUUAUGUAAAGUUAGGUUUUUGUAAACACAAUCUAAUUUUUACCAUUAAGGCUUCAUGUACUUAUUCUUUAUUCUAUUGAUUUUUUGAGUAUUA